Molecule: long non-coding RNA, 339 nt
Organism: Asparagus officinalis (garden asparagus)
Lineage: Eukaryota; Viridiplantae; Streptophyta; Magnoliopsida; Asparagales; Asparagaceae
Exons: 2
Source: RefSeq, a predicted model, not a curated record
CACCUCAAGUCGCCGCCACCUCAAGUCGCCGCCACUUCCUGCGAUAGCAAUCUUUCUCUCAGGGGAAAUAUUGAGGUCUUUAUGGUGAUUUCGGAUUCUAACCCUUGCUAUGAAGACGCACAUAUGAGGCUUGCUGCAGCACUCUUAAUGUUGUUAUUGAGUCCAACUGAGUGUUAUGUUUGUUUCCUGGUCUUUUCUUUCUUCUGUCAUGAUCCUGUUCAUGCCUGAACAUUUGAAAGAUGGGAAAUAAGUGGACUAUGGUUGUGCUACUAUUUUGUUUAUAGACGAACUUACUACUCUUCUAGUUUAUCAAGUAAUUAAGUAGAUUGUCCUUACUAA